This 617-nucleotide ribosomal RNA is filed under the name uncultured eukaryote. Its description in RNAcentral is "bacterial SSU rRNA". It matches the Rfam family "Eukaryotic small subunit ribosomal RNA", at positions 1189 to 1803 of the family's 1831-position model. The record is from RNAcentral.
CUUAAUUUGACUCAACACGGGAAAACUUACCAGGUCCAGACAUUUGAAGGAUUGACAGAUUGAUAGCUCUUUCAUGAUUAAAUGGGUGGUGGUGCAUGGCCGUUCUUAGUUGGUGGAGUGAUUUGUCUGGUUAAUUCCGAUAACGAACGAGACCUUUACCAGCUAAAUAGUAAUUAUUAGGACUUGUCCUAGUAAGAUAUACUUCUUAGAGGGACUAUUGGUUUUUAAACCAAAGGAAGUAAAGGCGAUAACAGGUCUGUGAUGCCCUUAGAUGUUCUGGGCUGCACGCGCGCUACAAUGAUCAACUCAUCAAGUUAUCUCAACUUGUUUGUGAUUUACUUUUCCUGAAGGAAUGGUUAAUCUUCAACGUUGAUCGUGCUUGGGAUAGAUAAUUGUAAUUAUUUAUCUUGGACAAGGAAUUCCUAGUAAUCGUAAUUCAUCAGAUUGCGAUGAUUACGUCCCUGCCCCUUGUACACACCGCCCGUCGCUGCUACCGAUUGAAUAAUCCGGUGAACUCGUCGGAUUGUGGUAAAUAUUUAGUCUUCGGGUUAAAUUUUGCUGCGAGAAGUUGAGUAAACCAUGUUAUUUAGAGGAAGCAAAAGUCGUAACAAGGUACC